CUCAUGGUCAAUAAAAACAAUUUUUUCUCACACAAAAAUAUACUAGCAAAUAACCUUCAAUGGAGAAAACUCAAUUUGGCCACUUUUAUCAAUUAUGCCUUCAUUUAAAUCUCUCCUGUGACAAACUGAUUUACAUCCUGAGAAUGAACUGAAGUGAAAAAACCCCUGAACACAAACAUAUGAGAGCCUCACAUCUUCAUCUAUUCAAAGUCUGUGGCGAUGGGGGAAUAUUAGCCGAUGCAUCUCUCCUAAAUUCUACCUGACUCCGUUUUUCUCUGUGUCUGUUCAAAACUGCUUGUUUCCACACAUUCACAUUUCUUCUACCUCUUGACAGUUGAGAAACUGCUUUUACUGAUUUUGAUCGUGACCUUGUUCUUCAGAUGGAUUUGCUGAAGUUAGAUCCUUGUUGUUAAAUAUAAACAUGUGCAAAUAAAGACUUAAGCAUUUAGCACGAAGCUCUAUGUCAUGACUUGUAGGAUGGACAGACCCAGAUGCUGAAACCCAGAAUGAGGACAACGUUAGGUAAGAGGCAAGUAAGAGUUUUAUUUUCCUUCCAGGAGAGAUGGUUGUGGCUCGGUAUGAGUCAUAAGGACUGCGGCGUGAGGCGUGGCUGGAGGUAGUAGCGCGGCUUGGUAGAGCGUGUUGUUUCCACAGUAGUGAUGGGACGAGCGACACUGGUGCAUCAGCACUGUGCCGAGAGCUCAAGAGGGAAACCUUGUAUCGGUGCGUGUAUUGCUUUAAGAAAGAAUCACGUGACCGAUCCAGGAACUGUGUCUUUUGGAUGUGCGACGCCAAAGUGUGUUUAUCAGGAAACAAACUGUAUCAACAUGUCGUGGGUUUGUCGGAUGGAGUUUUGUUUGAUCGUGGAUCGUCCAUGGAAGUGUUCCCCGGUGUGGAAUAAUUUUGAUCUUGUGACGCCAAACAAGGUGAAGUGUCGGCUCUGCUCCACAGAGCUAUCUUAUAUCAAUAAGAGCACUUCAUCAAUGCUGAGGCAUUAUAGAGCUCGGCAUGGCAAUGAAGAAUUGGCAGCUACUCGUGAGAGUACCCCAGUUCCUAACAAGCAAGCAGUGGAUGAGGCAGUGGUCAAUAUGAUCAUCAAAAACUGUCAGCCACUCAGCUUGGUUGAAAAUGAGGAAUUCAUGGAGCUCCUGAAGCUUAUUGUAACCUCGUAUGCUCUACCAAGCAGGGAGGCAUGUUCAAGAAUUUUUAUUAUAUCUUUGUACUAACUAUAUAACUAUAUUUUAUCGGUGUAACAGUAUUUGUAUGGUUAUUUUCAGACCAUCAAGGACUUGGUGAGCCAGAGAUAUGAGGAGGAGAAGGAGAAAACCAAAAAGGACCUCCAGAGUGCCGUUGCUGUUACUUUAACAGCUGAUAUGUGGACGUCUAUGAAUAUGGAGGCAUAUCUAGCUGUAACUGGCCACUAUGUGGACAAAGAAAGCCAUGAACAACAUUGCCACGGUUAAAAGGAGCCUCAUGGAGGAGGGGGGCAUAGCAGGAAAGGUCAGGUGUCUUGUCACUGAUGCAGCAGCAAACAUGACUGCAUGUGCUCGAAUGCUUCAAAUACGGCAUACCAUUUGUAUAGCCCAUUCCCUGAAUUUAAUUGUGAGAAAAUCAUGUGAUCAAAUCCCAACAAUAACUGUAUUACGCAGCAAAACACGUCACAUUGUGACAUACUUUCGAUCAAGCGUGACUGCUAAAGAGAAGCUCACUCAAAUACAGCAACAGCUGAGAACACCGGGCCAUAAAUUAAUAAACGAGGUGCCAACACGAUGGAACAGUACCUACCAAAUGUUUGAAAGAAUGACUGAGCAGAAGGAGGCAGUCUGGGUGUCACUGGCCUCAUUAAAACCUGACAUCACUCCACUGACUCCAGAAGAAUGUCAGAUCAUUGAAGAGAUGCUCAGGGUUCUUGCUCCUUUUGACCAAGCUACAAGAGAACUUUCUGAGGAAAAAAGGGUCUCUGGGUCGAAGGUCAUUCCCAUGAUGAGAAUGCUCCACAUUGAGCUUCAACGUCAGGCUACAACAGUGACAAAAACAGCUCCUCAGCAACUGGCUAAAAACCUGAGGAAGCGGCUAACUGACGCUAUUUGCGGCAUGGAAUCUCUCAGUGUGAUGACUCUGGCAACUCUGUUGGAUCCCAGAUUUAAAAAGAAUGGAUUUGUUAGUCAGCAAAAGGCAAGUGAAGCGGUGAAGAGACUGCAGUCAGAAUGUGCAGAAGAAAUGAGGAGCCAAGAGCCUGUCAUGAUUUGAAUUUGUUGUCUUGUUUUUGGUCCUUGUUCUGUCUAGUUUCUGUUUCCCGUUUUAUUUUGAAAGUCUCCUGUCUUGUCUGGUUUCUUGAGUUUUACUUCCUUUGGUCCCCAUCAGCCCUGAUCGUGUCCACCUGUGUCUUGUCUGCCCUGUCUGUAUUUAAGUCUUGUCUCUGCCUUCCUCCUGUGCUGGUCCAUUAACGUCUCAUGUAACGUCUUCAUGUGUCCUCGUCCCUUCAUGCCAUGUUCCAUGUCCCUCGCCAAGCCACAGUGAGUUUUGUUUGCUUAGUCAUCCUGCUCUGCAGCACUUUUUGUUUCUAUUAAACCCCUUGCCCUUGAACCGUGUGCCUCCGCCUCUGCAUUUGGGUCCUUACCUGCUCUCAAGCCCCCUGCACAUGACAGAGCCUGACCCAAGAGAAGAGCCUAGCUCUUCACAUGGGUCAGAACCCAGUACAGGGCACAAUCUCUGGAAAAACUUUAGAUAUGGAGGUUGCAGAGACCCAGAAGACGAGGAACGCAACAGCUGACUCCAAUAUUGAAGUCCAACGCUACCUGGCAGAAACAAACACACCCAGAAACCAAGAUCCUUUGCAAUAUUGGAAAUGGAACCAGGAAAUAUACCCACAUCUUCAUCAACUUGCACUUAAAACUCUCUGCUCACCAUCAUCGUCUGUACCACGCGAAAGAGUAUUUUCCAAGGCUGGGGAGCUGGUGUUUAAGAGGAGAAAUCGCCUUGGAACAAAGACACUCCAAAAACUUUUGUUUCUCAAUAAAAAAUUC
Molecule: non-coding RNA, 3026 nt
Organism: Oryzias latipes (Japanese medaka)
Lineage: Eukaryota; Metazoa; Chordata; Actinopteri; Beloniformes; Adrianichthyidae
Source: RefSeq, a predicted model, not a curated record